Molecule: long non-coding RNA, 1539 nt
Organism: Homo sapiens (human)
Lineage: Eukaryota; Metazoa; Chordata; Mammalia; Primates; Hominidae
Exons: 3
Source: RefSeq, a predicted model, not a curated record
UUUCCAGAAAGCAAAGUAAGCCAAUACAUUUUAUUACGUAUUUAUGGUUUUUGAAAAUUUUUGUUUUCUACGAACCUACACCAGCUAGAAAAAUAAUUGCCAACUCUUCCCACAAUGACUGAUGCCGUUUGUGAUGUUGCUACUGGCAGAAAGAUUUUCUCAGAAGACUGAAAAAAAAUAAAAUAUAAAUAUUGUGGUUUUUUAUUGUCUUUAUGAAAAACUAUAUUUUUGGCCCUUGGACCUGAGAGAUAAUUUACAUAGCCAAUUACAAAAGCUCUCACAGAAUGACUGCACACCUGCAUUGGGUGAAACCGAAAGAAAAACUCUCUUGUUCAGUAAAGCACCAUAUGCAAAUUGGGGGAAUAAAAGGAGCACAACAGCUGGCAUGAAAAGAAUAGUUUACAGAUUCUUAGGGAGCACUGGUCUGGAGGCAUUCAGAAGCGUCAUCAGGCUGGCAAAAGUGCACUAUGCAACUAGGGUAACCUUCAGUAUGAAAAAAAAAACAGCUUUUAAAGAAACAGGUAAAUGUUAUUAUGAUCAAAGUCCAAAACUCAUUGGCAUUGAUAACCGAGCAUUGAGCAAAAUGGAAACAGCCGUUAACAAAUUCAUUAAGAGCCUCUUUACAUUCCCACCAUCAAUUGAAAACAUAUGUUUAAUCUGUACUCUCUUUAAUUUAUUUCAAUUAUUAUUGGUAGAAAAAAGGUAACCUGCUUGAAUAUCAUAAAGAUAUGUCAAUGACAUACUUCUUGUAUUUCCAGGUCAGGUUGUGCACACCUUCAGUCAACAUUUAUAUAAAAUGACAGCAACCUUUGAAGGCCUAGUUCUUCCUUGAGCAAAGAAGUGAUUAUUCAUCACAAAGGGACAGCUAAGAGGAUCUUAGAGGCAAUGUUGCCUAUGGAAAGAGCUCUUGACCAUUCUUUAAUAGGAGAAAAGGACACCAACAUGAAGCUGAACGAAUUUCAGGAAGAAAAAAGAUGCUAAUAUUUUGUACCUUAAAGAAGAAAGGACUGAGAAAAUCAUUAAGGUGACAGAUCUUACAGACAGGCUGAAGAAGGAUGGAAAAGCAACUCUAGUUUAAGAUAUAUUUAUCCCUGGAAAUGAAUCUACCAGCAGUCUGGAUAAGACCAUGGGAAAAACACCGUGGACAGUGAAAAAUUGUCUGUGAGUUGAUAAUUAUUGAAACAGACAUGAAGGUAAGUGGGAAUGCACUAUAGUAUUCUUUCCACCUUUGUAUAAGCUUGAAAAUUUUUCAUAAUUAAGUUUUUAAAAAUUAGUUUAACAAUACGAUGGGCAAAGUGUUCCACCAAAUGCCUCCUAGGAUGAUGUGAAUUUCAGCUGUGCUGUAAGUAUUACUCCAGCAUCUAUCUCUUAACUGUUGGCUAUAGUGCAACAUUACAGUCUCCAAGGAGGCUGCCUGCCCUCUUGGCAGCAGGGUGAGUGCCAUGAUGCAGCUGCUGUUGGCAUGCUGAGAGCUGGAAGGGGAGAAAUAUAAGCCAAAACAAGAGUAAGUCACAAAGAAAAUGUGAGUCAAAAUUCAAG